GUGGGGAAUAUUGGGCAAUGGGCGCAAGCCUGACCCAGCAACGCCGCGUGAGGGAAGAAGGUUUUCGGAUUGUAAACCUCUGUCCUUAGGGACGAAAAAAAUGACGGUACCUAAGGAGGAAGCUCCGGCUAACUACGUGCCAGCAGCCGCGGUAAUACGUAGGGAGCAAGCGUUGUCCGGAAUUACUGGGCGUAAAGGGGGCGUAGGUGGCCAUGCAAGUCAGAUGUGAAAUCCCCGGGAUUAACGCGGGGGGUGCAUUUGAAACCGCGUGGCUUGAGUGAAGGAGAGGAAAGCGGAAUUCCUAGUGUAGCGGUGAAAUGCGUAGAUAUUAGGAGGAACACCAGUGGCGAAGGCGGCUUUCUGGACUGUAACUGACACUGAGGCACGAAAGCGUGGGGAGCAAACAGGAUUAGAUACCCUAGUAGUCC
RNAcentral lists this ribosomal RNA (428 nucleotides) under uncultured bacterium. RNAcentral's name for it is "partial 16S ribosomal RNA". It matches the Rfam family "Bacterial small subunit ribosomal RNA", at positions 354 to 796 of the family's 1533-position model. The record is from RNAcentral.